This 253-nucleotide ribosomal RNA is filed under the name uncultured bacterium. RNAcentral describes it as "partial 16S ribosomal RNA". It matches the Rfam family "Bacterial small subunit ribosomal RNA", at positions 524 to 776 of the family's 1533-position model. The record is from RNAcentral.
UACAGAGGGUGCGAGCGUUAAUCGGAAUUACUGGGCGUAAAGCGUGCGUAGACGGUUAUUUAAGUCGGGUGUGAAAGCCCCGGGCUCAACCUGGGAACAGCGCUUGAGACUGGCACGCUCGAGUUCGGGAGAGGAUGGUGGAAUUCCCAGUGUAGAGGUGAAAUUCGUAGAUAUUGGGAAGAACACCGAUGGCGAAGGCAGCCAUCUGGACCGACACUGACGCUGAGGCGCGAAAGCGUGAGGAGCAAACAGG